RNAcentral lists this long non-coding RNA (2625 nucleotides) under Venturia canescens. Its description in RNAcentral is "uncharacterized LOC122411107, transcript variant X1". Lineage: Eukaryota; Metazoa; Arthropoda; Insecta; Hymenoptera; Ichneumonidae. The record is from RNAcentral.
UCGAGCGAGAUCGAGCGAGAGCACGUGGAUAGUGUCACAGUGUUUGUAAUUAAAAAAAAAAAGUCAUUCAUCGUAUUACGUUCAAUCAAGAACGAUGGUUGUGAAGCCAUAAUUGCGAGUGUGCUUGUGCUCCGUGAUUCUCAUCAAUCGUUCAAAAUUAACAUCAACGAUCUUCACAUUUUUGAGGUUAUGGUGCGUCGUGAUGUGAAAAAUCAUUUUUCUCUUUCGGUAUUUUUGCGCGAAGCUAAACGACAAAUUGACGAAUUUUGAGAUUUCGAGAGAAGUUUUUGGUGAACAUGUUGUUCAUGAAUUGGUUCCGGGUGGCAGUAAAAUUCCAGUCACACAAAGCAACAAGUAAAAUAAUUCACUGAUUUCAGAAUGGAAUUUAUUAAUUUGUAUGUCGAUCACAUGCUUAAUAAAUCUGUAGAGUCGCAUUUUCUAGCAUUUCACGAGGGCUUCCACAAAAUAUGUGGUGGCUGCAUUCUCGAGUUAUUUCACAGUCACGAAUUGAUGGUGGUGGUGGUUGGCAAUGAGAAUUAUGAUUGGAACGAAUUGGAAAGAAUCACCACCUACAAGAAUGGUUAUUCAAAGAUGAUCCAACAAUAGUGCUUUUCUGGCAAAUCUUCCAUGAACUUUCGCUCAAAGAGAAAAAAUAUUCUUAACGGGCAGCGAUAGAAUACCUAUACAAAGCAUGACAGUGAUCAAGAAUGGUUUCAGAAUGGAAAUUAUUAAUUUAUAUGUCGAUCACAUGCUUAAUAAAUCUGUAGAGCCGCAUUUUCAAGCAUUUUACGAGGACUUCCACAAAGUAUGUGGUGGCCGCGUUCUUGAGUUAUUUCACAGUCACAAAUUGAUGGCGAUAGUGGUUGGCAACGAGAAUUAUGAUUGGGACGAAUUGGAAAAAAUCACCACCUACAAGAAUGGUUAUUCGAAAGAUGAUCCAACAAUAGUGCUUUUCUGGCAAAUCUUUCAUGAACUUUCGCUCGAAGAGAAAAAAAAUUCUUAACGGGUAGCGAUAGAAUACCUAUACAUACCUAUACAAGGCAUGAUAGUGAUCAAGAAUGGAAUUUAUUAAUUUAUAUGUCGAUCACAUGCUUAAUAAAUCUGUAGAGCCGCAUUUUCAAGCAUUUUACGAGGGCUUCCACAAAGUAUGUGGUGGCCACGUUCUUGAGUUAUUUCACAGUCACGAAUUGAUGGCGAUGGUGGAUGGCAACGAGAAUUAUGAUUGGAACUAAUUGGAAAAAAUCACCACCUACAAGAAUGGUUAUUCGAAAGACGAUCCAACAUAGUGCUUUUCUGGCAAAUCUUCCAUGAACUUUCGCUCGAAGAGAAAAAAAAUUCUUAACGGGUAGCGAUAGAAUACCUAUACAAGGCAUGACAGUGAUCAAGUUGAGAGUUUCCGGAUAGCUUUUCACUAUCAAAAAUGAAUGGAAUUUAUUAAUUUAUAUGUCGAUCACAUGCUUAAUAAAUCUGUAGAGCCGCAUUUCCAAGCAUUUUACGAGGGCUUCCACAAAGUAUGUGGUGGCCGCGUUCUUGAGUUAUUUCACAGUCACGAAUUGAUGGCGAUAGUGGUUGGCAACGAGAAUUAUGAUUGGGACCAAUUGGAAAAAAGCACCACCUACAAGAAUGGUUAUUCGAAAGAUGAUCCAACAAUAGUGCUUUUUUGGCAUCUUCCAUGAACUUUCGCUCGAAGAGAAAAAAAAAUCUUAACGGGUAGCGAUAGAUAGCGAUAGAAUAUACCUAACCUAUACAAGGCAUGACAGCGAUCAAGAUAACGAUUCAGUCAAUGACAGACGAGCGUUUCUUGCCAGUUGCUCAUACAUGUUUUAACCUUGCUCAUACAUGUUUUAUUGGAUUUGUCCCGCUAUAAGAUUCGUAAAAAGCUUCGUUACAAAUUGCUCCAGAGGAUUCAUCAGACUCGAGAAUUUUCGCUGGUUUAGCAUUAAAAAUUUGAAAGAAAUAUGUGGUAAAUAGAAGAAAUCAAAGAUACAUAAAAUGUCGAUCAGGGAACCUCAGAUCGUGGAUUAGCCAUAUGCCGGAGAUUUGAAAAAACAACGACGAUAGGUUUAUUGAACAUAGGAAAAAACAAUCUCGCUACUUUUUUCAUCCUCCGAGGCUGUUCCCCAUACGCAAGAUUCGGACACCUAGUCGAACGAUCGCAUAUUUCACGCAUAUUAAAUCCUGGCUUAUUUUUCGACUAUUUUUUCGGACCCGUUUUUCAAACUAGAACUUGAGUUGUACGUCAACCAAAAUAUAACCGUACGUAACGAAAUCAUCAACCUUUUUCUACUUUUCAAACAGUCUUACAAGAACUCGAUACUCAUGUCGGAUGCAAUAUUGAAAUAAAGUGCUACUAAAAGUGAGCACAUUUUCAGUUUUUCCGUUUUCAAAGAGUAGAUAUUUGGAUGUAAUUGGAUUUGUAAUUAGUUAUAACGGUUCGAAAAAAAUCUAAAUGUGCAAAAUUUUACGAUUUUCGAAUAGUAUUCGAAUAGUAUCGAAUAGAUAUUUUUGACGAUGUUAAUAAAAAAAUAAAUAAUUUGACCAUUUAAACAAGAAUGUAUUGUUGUUAUUAAAGAUUUAUUUAUUAAUAAAUUUCAAUAAAUUUGAAAUUUUCGAAGUGUUAACAAA